CACUCCUCAAACUUUAAAAACUGUAAAAUAAUUAGACAUUUAUAACACAUUUCUGAUAAACACAUCAUUAUUGUACUUAAAUAAUAACCUUUGGUCCCAGAGGCGGUUUAUUUUUUUUCAGAAUCACUGCAUUGUACAUCAAUCUUAGCUGACAAGCUGACUUGCCACCUAGGAUAACUUUAAUUCUGUUCCUGUGUGUCCAACUUGUCUGGUUACAACUACAUGUCUGUUCG
Molecule: non-coding RNA, 233 nt
Organism: Pelobates cultripes (western spadefoot toad)
Lineage: Eukaryota; Metazoa; Chordata; Amphibia; Anura; Pelobatidae
Source: the annotation of a GenBank genome assembly